UAGAGUUUGAUCCUGGCUCAGGAUGAACGCUAGCUACAGGCUUAACACAUGCAAGUCGAGGGGAAACGAUGUUGGAAGCUUGCUUCCGAUAGGCGUCGACCGGCGCACGGGUGAGUAACGCGUAUCCAACCUGCCCACCACUUGGGGAUAACCUUGCGAAAGUAAGACUAAUACCCAAUGAUAUCUCUAGAAGACAUCUGAAAGGGAUUAAAGAUUUAUCGGUGAUGGAUGGGGAUGCGUCUGAUUAGCUUGUUGGCGGGGUAACGGCCCACCAAGGCGACGAUCAGUAGGGGUUCUGAGAGGAAGGUCCCCCACAUUGGAACUGAGACACGGUCCAAACUCCUACGGGAGGCAGCAGUGAGGAAUAUUGGUCAAUGGGCGAGAGCCUGAACCAGCCAAGUAGCGUGCAGGAUGACGGCCCUAUGGGUUGUAAACUGCUUUUAUAAGGGAAUAAAGUGAGUCUCGUGAGACUUUUUGCAUGUACCUCAUGAAUAAGGACCGGCUAAUUCCGUGCCAGCAGCCGCGGUAAUACGGAAGGUCCGGGCGUUAUCCGGAUUUAUUGGGUUUAAAGGGAGCGUAGGCCGGAGGUUAAGCGUGUUGUGAAAUGUAGAUGCUCAACGUCUGCACUGCAGCGCGAACUGGUUUCCUUGAGUACGCACAAAGUGGGCGGAAUUCGUGGUGUAGCGGUGAAAUGCUUAGAUAUCACGAAGAACUCCGAUUGCGAAGGCAGCUCACUGGAGCGCAACUGACGCUGAAGCUCGAAAGUGCGGGUAUCGAACAGGAUUAGAUACCCUGGUAGUCCGCACGGUAAACG
This 814-nucleotide ribosomal RNA is filed under the name uncultured bacterium. RNAcentral's name for it is "bacterial SSU rRNA". It matches the Rfam family "Bacterial small subunit ribosomal RNA", at positions 1 to 808 of the family's 1533-position model. The record is from RNAcentral.